GCUGGAGGUGACAGCACAUGCCUGUAGUCCCAACUACUUGGGAGGCUGAAGCAGGAGGAUCACUUGAGUCCAGGAGUUCUGGGCUGUAGAGUGCUGUGCCAGUCACGUGUCCACACUAAGUUCAGCAUCAGUGUGGUGAUGUCCUGGGAGCCAGGGUCCACCAGGUUGCCUAAAGAAGGGUGAACCAGCCCAGGUCAAAAGCUGGGCAAGUCAAAACUCCUGUGCUGCUCUGUAAUGCGGUCAUACCUGUGAAGAGCCGCUGCACUCCAGCCUGGGUGGCAUAGUGAGACUCUGUCUGUU
Molecule: unclassified non-coding RNA, 300 nt
Organism: Macaca fascicularis (crab-eating macaque)
Lineage: Eukaryota; Metazoa; Chordata; Mammalia; Primates; Cercopithecidae
Rfam family: Metazoan signal recognition particle RNA
About the family: The signal recognition particle (SRP) is a universally conserved ribonucleoprotein. It is involved in the co-translational targeting of proteins to membranes.
Source: Ensembl